Molecule: unclassified non-coding RNA, 643 nt
Filed under: Amphimedon queenslandica
Lineage: Eukaryota; Metazoa; Porifera; Demospongiae; Haplosclerida; Niphatidae
Description: pRELI domain containing protein 3B-like, transcript variant X1
Source: RNAcentral
UCCCGCCAAAACACGUGGUGCAAAAAAGACCCUACAGAGAUUUUAUCCUCGAUUUUGUCAUUCCAGGCUUGUUGAGGUCUUAUAAAUCAAUUAAAAAGAUAGCAAAAUUAUGAGAAAGAAAUGAAGACGUGGGUGGAUAGUUAUACUUUUGAGUUAUUUUCCCUGGGAGACUGUAGUACAGGCUGCAUAUCGUAAAUACCCAACACGUCACAAUACUAACGUUAAGACACUUGAUACAUUGGAAAGGAGGUGUGGUCAAAAUGGGAGUGGCCGAGUUUUGUUUAGUCAUCGGUUGUUUGGUACACUAUGGAAUGCACCAGCUCUUGUAAUUAAUAUAUUAGGGUUUAAUGAGAUGAUGUAUAUUCAUGAAAUGUCUGAGUGUGACACUCUUAGCAAGACACUCUUAGCAAGACACUUACCAUCUCUGCCGUUAAUGUCUCAUUACAAAGUUUAUUUAAGAUGAGUGAAGUCCUGCAAUACAAAGUACAUCCAGAGGAUCCAUCAAAGACUAUACUGCAGCAGCAUACUGUUAUGAGUGUUCAUGGUGUUCCAUUGCUAGGAGGAUUAUUAGAAACUAUGAUACUCAAUUCUUAUGAGUCUGUUAUAUCAAAGGGAAGACUGGCAGUGGAAGAGAAAGCAAAAG